CGCGGACGUGGCUCAGUGGUAGAGCAUCACCUUGCCAAGGUGAGGGUCGCGGGUUCGAAUCCCGCCUUCCCGA
This 73-nucleotide transfer RNA is filed under the name Actinomycetota bacterium. RNAcentral describes it as "tRNA-Gly". It matches the Rfam family "tRNA". Rfam says of the family: Transfer RNA (tRNA) molecules are approximately 80 nucleotides in length. Their secondary structure includes four short double-helical elements and three loops (D, anti-codon, and T loops). The record is from RNAcentral. Lineage: Bacteria; Bacillati; Actinomycetota.